ACACCGGCUUCGAAAAAUCGCGAGAUCUCACGACGCCCCUUCAAGGCAUCUGUUCGACUUGCUCCACAUGUCGAUCCCCUGGAAUCGACUUGGAGAUUCGUUCCUUCGUCAAACGUACGAUUCGUUCGGUGGUUCGAUUUAUCGACGGUCGAAGGGAUGAAUCCGAGCGUUUUGGGGGGUAGGGGGUAGCGCGUACAAACGGGCAGGAGGGCGACGCUUGCAUAAAGUGGUGGAAAAUUCGGGUUGAAACCUGUGAAAGCGGGGAAAGAAGAUCAAUAAAGUGGUAUGCCAUACUGUCGGUGCCGCUGGUGUGCUGUUGUAGUAGCGGCUGGCUGGCUGGUGUGUAUUAUUAAGCGGAGGUGUGGAGCUAGAGAGUGCGAGGAAAAGAGAGAGGAGAGACGUGGAAGAGACUAGAGAGAGAGUGAAGAUAAAGAGGGACGAAUGGAGUGACGAUAGACGGGAGAGGAACAGUCCGCACACCAGGAGAACGUUGGUCAGGGAUGAACAGAGAUAAAGCGUUGGUGCACGGGGGCGAAACAUGGAGCGAGAGGACGAAUCGAAGGAGAAGAGGGAGAAGGUGAGAGAAGCAGUUGAAAAGGGAUAAGGUGUCCGGGAUUUGGAGUGGCCGUCCGUUUAUGAUUCGGACAGCGCCUCUCCCUUUUUGGGGAAAUUCCGAAUUGCCCGCUUUCCCGAGCGGUAAACCUGGCAAAAAAACCCAGGAAUGGAAAGGCACGAUGUACGGAGGAAACUUAGGGACUGGGAGAGUGUCAACAACAUACUGGGACAGUCUUUGUCAGAUCGUCGUAUCGUGCAGGCGAAAAACUACAUCUUCUUCAGUCUCAACAAGAUCUUACAAUCAGAAUAUCAAACUCUGCUUGUAUACAACAAGUGCAAAUAAAGUGCCAAACUAUACUAA
Bombus terrestris (buff-tailed bumblebee) is the source of this 916-nucleotide long non-coding RNA. RefSeq lists it as uncharacterized. The transcript is spliced from 2 exons. NCBI's taxonomy places the organism in Eukaryota, Metazoa, Arthropoda, Insecta, Hymenoptera, Apidae. The record is from RefSeq and is a predicted model, not a curated record.